ACGUCACGCACGCACGCACGCAGCGCCCAGGAGGCUACGGGCGGGGCCGGCGGGGACCUGAGGCCGAGGGACAGCGGCCCGAGCCGGGGCUAUGGCGAAGCUGCUGAGCUGCGUCCUAGGCCCCCGGCUCUACAAGAUCUACCGGGAGAGGGACACGGACCGGGCCGCGACCAGCGUCCCCGAGACUCCCACUGCCGUCCCCGCCGCCUCGUCCAGCUCCUGGGAUUCGUAUUAUCAGCCUCGGGCCUUGGAGAAACAUGCCGACAGCAUCCUGGCACUGGCCUCAGUCUUCUGGUCCAUCUCUUAUUACUCCUCUCCCUUCGCCUUCUUCUACCUGUACAGGAAAGGUUACUUGAGUUUGUCCAAAGUGGUGCCGUUUUCUCACUAUGCCGGGACCUUGCUGGUACUCCUGGCAGGGGUGGCCUGCCUCCGAGGCAUCGGCCGCUGGACCAACCCCCAGUACCGACAGUUCAUCACCAUCUUGGAAGCCACACAUAGGAACCAGUCUGCGGAAAACAAGAGACAGCUGGCCAACUAUAACUUUGACUUCAGGAGCUGGCCCGUCGACUUCCACUGGGAGGAGCCCAGCAGCCGGAAGGGGUCCCGAGGUGGCCCUUCCCGCAGGGGUGUGGCCCUGCUUCGCCCAGAGCCUCUGCACCGGGGAACAGCAGACACAUUUCUUAACAGAGUCAAGAAGCUGCCCUGUCAAAUCACCAGCUAUCUGGUGGCACACACCUUGGGGCGCCGGAUGCUGUACCCAGGCUCCGUGUACCUGCUCCAGAAGGCCCUCAUGCCUGUGCUGCUACAGGGCCAGGCCCGACUGGUGGAAGAGUGUAAUGGGCGCCGUGCAAAACUGCUCGCCUGUGACGGCAAUGAGAUUGACACCAUGUUUGUGGACCGGCGGGGGACUGCUGAGCCCCAGGGGCAGAAGCUGCUCCACCCAAGGACCUCAUGGGAAGCCUGAGCGGGAAGUAGGUGGUGGGGACGGAGCUCAGUUGGCAGAGGACUUGCUUUAGCGUGUGUGAAGCCCUGGGUUUCACCCCCAGCCCUGUGUACACGGAGAACUGGAUUAUGGGUCUGUAAUCCCAGCACCCAGGUAUAGAGAGAAGAGGAUCAGAAGUUCAAGGCCAGGGCUGGGUAGAUGGGUACGGUAUUCCCCAUGCGAGCGAGAGGACCUGAGUUCUGAUCUUCAGAAGCUGUGUAAAGCCGGUCAUGGUGAUUACGUUGUAGUCCCAGCUCUCUGUGGGAGGGGCAGGGGAACCCUUGGGCCCUCUCUGCCAGCUUAGCAGAUGCAGCACAGCACACACAACAGAGACCCUGCCUUGAAGUUGGAGGCAGGGGGUGACUGGCGUUUCCUUCUCCCCUCCACUCACGUGCUGUGGAUCAGGCAUACGUGCAUACACAACCACAUGGUGCCUACUGGAGUGUGCGCACACAGCGCAUUCAUGCACACACAGAGUUUAAAGUCUUGGCUAUGUGGUGAGUUUGCAGUCAGCCCAUGUCUCAAAACAAAAAGUUUAAAGAUGAGAACAUCAUAGCAGACUGGAGAAGUCACCGUGGUGUGUGCACCCCAACAGGAGUUCAUUACCAGCACCAAAGUGGGGGGAAGGGAGUGGUCAUUUGAGUAGGGCUGUAGAGAGCUGCCUAGUGUUUGGGACUCACACACAAAGCCAGGCAUGGUGCACACCCUGACCCUAGGGCUGGGGAGGCAGAGGCAGAAGGCUCUGAUACACUGAGUUCAAGGCCUGACGGGGAUAAACAGGGCCCUGUCCUACCAUAACAAAGAGUAGAUGCAGGAGGUCGAAGCAGGAGUCUAGGUUCCAGGCCACCCAACCUACCUAGUGAGACACUGCCUCAAGAAAACAAAUAACAUUUGACACGUGCAAGACCAGCCUGUGGGUCUGUGCACUCUGCAGAGUGACCUCGCUGCUCACAGCUGAGUGACAGCGCUGCGGCUGAGCGAGUAGCCCUUACGGCGGCCCUGGCCUGGAAGCACUGCACAGGCAGCUGGGGAUGGGUUCUGGUGCUGGCUCUGCCGUCUGCCACCAUCCCCAGCUUCAGCUUGACCACCAUAGAGAGCGGGGUGAUCUGCUGUGAGGGGAAUGCGGGAUUCUACGAAGUGGGCUGUGUCUCCACACCCCUAGAAGCUGGAUAUUCUGUCCUGGGCUGGAAUCAUCCAGGCUUUGCUGGGAGCACGGUGAGA
Rattus norvegicus (Norway rat) is the source of this 2203-nucleotide non-coding RNA. NCBI's taxonomy places the organism in Eukaryota, Metazoa, Chordata, Mammalia, Rodentia, Muridae. The record is from RefSeq and is a predicted model, not a curated record.